Long non-coding RNA from Triticum dicoccoides, 444 nucleotides. RefSeq lists it as uncharacterized. Lineage: Eukaryota; Viridiplantae; Streptophyta; Magnoliopsida; Poales; Poaceae. The transcript has 2 exons. The record is from RefSeq and is a predicted model, not a curated record.
AUCAUUCUUUUUUAUAGCAAUGAUUAGUUUGCUCUCAAAAAGAUGCUUUAGAAGAAUCUAUUCAGUUGUUUCUUGAAAAAGUUCUGCAUGUGGCAAAAGAUGCGGUGGCAAAGAUUUCAAAUGAAGCGAACCGAUGCAUAAAUAUUUUGUUGGCAAAAUAAGAUCCUUUCAGAUAUCUUGUUGUAUGUACAAAUCAUUUCUCUUUAUGUAUCACUGUUACUUUUGUUUCUGCUUCGUGCAUCCCUACAUAGUUGGUAUCAUGGGUUAUCAACCCCUCAAACUUGUUCUGCUAUCGGAUACCAACCAGAUCAAUUUAGUGUGAGAUUAGUUUUCAGUUGAACCAAUUUUAUAGUUGAAUAUGUUGCUUUGUUGGAACGUAUGAAGGUUUGAGAAGAAGUACAUUGCAACUUAAUGCAAAACCAUAUAACCAUGGUUCUUGGAAUC